CUAGACCUCCGCCAAGGAUAUAUGACGAUUGCCCAAUAUGCAGCCCAAUUUGUCAAACUGUCUAGGUUUGCUCCUCUAAUGGUCACCCCCCAAAAUCGUUUGAAAGGCCUUCAUACUGAUAUCCAUGAACGGGUUACGAUGUUGAGACUCAACCCAUAUGCCGAGGCACUAGAACAUGCUCAAUUGGCUGAAGAUCUCAUCUCGGCUAGGCACCAACGCAUUACUUGAGUC
This 231-nucleotide long non-coding RNA is filed under the name Carica papaya (papaya). Its description in RNAcentral is "long non-coding RNA (CPAP_LNC013098)". Lineage: Eukaryota; Viridiplantae; Streptophyta; Magnoliopsida; Brassicales; Caricaceae. The record is from RNAcentral.